GAGGAACAGGCCCCUUUGAAAAGCAGUACCUUCUAUCUGCUGUCUGGACAUAUUGUGUCGUCUAGAUACAGUAGUUUUCCUUACAUCACCAACUGAGAACAUCUUUUCAGGACAAUCAGUCAAGGAAAUUAAGGAGACUGCUACCAUUUGUCUGCUUUGGAUGCCAACAUCGAUUACAGAAGGAAUGGAGAUACUUCCUAGUAAGGAAACUUUCAACUGACUGCAGCCUCUCUGUCAAAUCUUCUGGGCCCUCUCAAACAACAGCGAGAGAGGAUGCAUGUCACAGCCAUGGCUUCAGAGACUCGGUACUUGUUAUCUGCCAGACCAGAAUACAGAAGAAAUUCCACCAUGCAAAAGCCUUCCCUGGGAUGUGCUCUGCAGCUGCUCUUCAUUGUCCUCGUCCUUCGAAGUGCACAGGGCUUGUAGUUUCUAUUAGCUGUAAGAGUGUCUGUAAGUACAUGGCACUUCUGAAGAUCAGACAUCAAGUGCCUGUGUUACGAUGCUCCUGCCCUUGUUCCACUCCUGGUGUUUGCUGAUGGAUAAAAGGAUCCCUAGGUAUCCGUGCAGCUGUGAAAAGGUUGUUCCUCCAACACCACCACAGGAAUGCAGAGCAAAUGGCCAUGAGGACCAGGUUCUGAGCCUAGGACCCAAGGCUGUGUGAUCCUGUCAUGGCAACACUUUGCAGUCCAGGUGGCUUCUUAGCUGUGGGGAGGGUUGGUAAUGAAAAGACAUGGGAGAGGGCAGCAGCUGUGACAGUGCAGUCUGAGCUUGCAUGUGGCAGCUGUGACAUGCAGUUUCUUUUCAAUCUGACUAGUUUUCUGCAUAUAGAAAUCCUCAACUAAAUUCCAUUACAAGUCUCCUGGGAGUGGCCUACUUCAGGUCUGCUAUGUAACUGACUGUUUUCCUCUGGGAAAAUGUAACGUAGGAUUUUUCUUACCUGUAUACACUUCCAUGACAUUAUCUAAUGCCUUCUCUAUUCAGAAGCCCCUAUUAAACCCUUCUUGAAAAAGGAAGCUUUCUCUUGAAGGAGCAGACUGGAGGAGCAGAUUGGAAAGAGACAUAACGAUAAACUCACAGAGUCAGACAAACUGUUACUGCAUGAAAAAAGGGUGAGAGGGUUAGAGAGCCCCAUAAAAAGCUUUGGGAAGUCAUAAAAUCUCAUUACCUUAAGUAGAAAACAAAAACAAACAAGCCCCUGGCAGAUGCAGAAACAGAAACCACGACUAGUAAAGGUUAAGAGAUUACUAUUUCAUAAUGGUGGUUCUCCGCCGGUAUAGCAACUAGAUAAGAUGGGGGAAUGUCACGCACACAAAGGCUGCUGUAUUUUACCCUUGGAAAGAUGUCAAGAGGAUCUGCAUAAUACUUUGUACAGACAACCCAGUGAGCAGACCAUGUGCCAAACAGAGAUUUUGAUUUAUAUAUAAAUGAAUAGACAUAUAAAUUUCUCUGCUUUUCAAAGUGAAUCGGAAAAAAAAAAGUAGGAGGUGACUAUCCAGAUUUUCUUGCUGGCUUCCCCUUUCACCCCCAUCCUCCCCAAGUGUGUAAUUUUAAAUCGUUAUUCAUAUUCCUAGGGAUGAAAUUCAGGAAUGUUCUCGGGAUGUGCGGCAAUUUACGGCGUGUUUGCGGAGCGUUUGCAGUACUUCCCCGUGUCAAUUAAAGACAAGCCACGAACGCCUUCAGCGGAAAAACCCACGCCACGGUCCCCGAUGUUUAUUUCACGCUCCCUUAGCGCGUUUCCAUGC
This is a long non-coding RNA of Parus major (Great Tit), 1742 nucleotides long. RefSeq lists it as uncharacterized. The transcript is spliced from 3 exons. NCBI's taxonomy places the organism in Eukaryota, Metazoa, Chordata, Aves, Passeriformes, Paridae. The record is from RefSeq and is a predicted model, not a curated record.